Long non-coding RNA from Carlito syrichta (Philippine tarsier), 441 nucleotides. RefSeq lists it as uncharacterized. NCBI's taxonomy places the organism in Eukaryota, Metazoa, Chordata, Mammalia, Primates, Tarsiidae. The record is from RefSeq and is a predicted model, not a curated record. The transcript has 2 exons.
GGGAGCUCUACCCAAGGAAAAGGAAAAAGAAGAAAAGGACUUAUUCAUUUGCGGUUCAGCCUCAUCCCCCACCACACCCAAGACUUUGAGGCUAAGGGAAGGAAGCCUUAACUCAAGAAUUCAGAGCAGAAAGGGCCUUCGGAGACCAUCAAUCCUGCCAUCUGCUGUCCUAUCCCAUUAAGACAACUGGCUGGAACCCCAAGAAGCACCAUUUGGCUCUGCACUUACUGCUUAGCAAUCAAGACAGCCUACAGAGAAUGAUGGCUCUAAAAGCACAGGACUGGAGAGCGACAGAUUCAGCCUGGGCCAACACUCUGGCCUCUCAGCUCUGGAGCUCACAACACUGAGUGAGCUGCCUUCCUGACACACUUGUCCCAGUCCCCACUGCAAACACAGGCCACAGUCAUCACGAUGGAACCGAGAUAAACCCUUUUAUUUAUU